Molecule: ribosomal RNA, 253 nt
Filed under: uncultured prokaryote
Description: partial 16S ribosomal RNA
Rfam family: Bacterial small subunit ribosomal RNA
Source: RNAcentral
GACAGAGGGGGCAAGCGUUGCUCGGAAUCACUGGGCGUAAAGGGCGCGUAGGCGGGAUGGCAAGUCAGUCGUGAAAUCUCUCGGCUCAACCGAGAAACGUCGGCUGAUACUGCCGUUCUUGAGGGAUGCAGAGGAGACUGGAAUUCCCGGUGUAGCGGUGGAAUGUGUAGAUAUCGGGAGGAACACCAGUGGCGAAGGCGAGUCUCUGGGAUGAUGCUGACGCUGAUGCGCGAAAGCCAGGGGAGCAAACGGG